AAAUUGAAGAGUUUGAUCAUGGCUCAGAUUGAACGCUGGCGGCAGGCCUAACACAUGCAAGUCGAGCGGUAGCACAGAGAGCUUGCUCUCGGGUGACGAGCGGCGGACGGGUGAGUAAUGUCUGGGAAACUGCCUGAUGGAGGGGGAUAACUACUGGAAACGGUAGCUAAUACCGCAUAACGUCGCAAGACCAAAGUGGGGGACCUUCGGGCCUCAUGCCAUCAGAUGUGCCCAGAUGGGAUUAGCUAGUAGGUGGGGUAACGGCUCACCUAGGCGACGAUCCCUAGCUGGUCUGAGAGGAUGACCAGCCACACUGGAACUGAGACACGGUCCAGACUCCUACGGGAGGCAGCAGUGGGGAAUAUUGCACAAUGGGCGCAAGCCUGAUGCAGCCAUGCCGCGUGUGUGAAGAAGGCCUUCGGGUUGUAAAGCACUUUCAGCGGGGAGGAAGGCGGUGAGGUUAAUAACCUCAUCGAUUGACGUUACCCGCAGAAGAAGCACCGGCUAACUCCGUGCCAGCAGCCGCGGUAAUACGGAGGGUGCAAGCGUUAAUCGGAAUUACUGGGCGUAAAGCGCACGCAGGCGGUCUGUCAAGUCGGAUGUGAAAUCCCCGGGCUCAACCUGGGAACUGCAUUCGAAACUGGCAGGCUAGAGUCUUGUAGAGGGGGGUAGAAUUCCAGGUGUAGCGGUGAAAUGCGUAGAGAUCUGGAGGAAUACCGGUGGCGAAGGCGGCCCCCUGGACAAAGACUGACGCUCAGGUGCGAAAGCGUGGGGAGCAAACAGGAUUAGAUACCCUGGUAGUCCACGCCGUAAACGAUGUCGAUUUGGAGGUUGUGCCCUUGAGGCGUGGCUUCCGGAGCUAACGCGUUAAAUCGACCGCCUGGGGAGUACGGCCGCAAGGUUAAAACUCAAAUGAAUUGACGGGGGCCCGCACAAGCGGUGGAGCAUGUGGUUUAAUUCGAUGCAACGCGAAGAACCUUACCUGGUCUUGACAUCCACAGAACUUUCCAGAGAUGGAUUGGUGCCUUCGGGAACUGUGAGACAGGUGCUGCAUGGCUGUCGUCAGCUCGUGUUGUGAAAUGUUGGGUUAAGUCCCGCAACGAGCGCAACCCUUAUCCUUUGUUGCCAGCGGUUCGGCCGGGAACUCAAAGGAGACUGCCAGUGAUAAACUGGAGGAAGGUGGGGAUGACGUCAAGUCAUCAUGGCCCUUACGACCAGGGCUACACACGUGCUACAAUGGCAUAUACAAAGAGAAGCGACCUCGCGAGAGCAAGCGGACCUCAUAAAGUAUGUCGUAGUCCGGAUUGGAGUCUGCAACUCGACUCCAUGAAGUCGGAAUCGCUAGUAAUCGUAGAUCAGAAUGCUACGGUGAAUACGUUCCCGGGCCUUGUACACACCGCCCGUCACACCAUGGGAGUGGGUUGCAAAAGAAGUAGGUAGCUUAACCUUCGGGAGGGCGCUUACCACUUUGUGAUUCAUGACUGGGGUGAAGUCGUAACAAGGUAACCGUAGGGGA
RNAcentral lists this ribosomal RNA (1516 nucleotides) under Klebsiella pneumoniae. Its description in RNAcentral is "bacterial SSU rRNA". It matches the Rfam family "Bacterial small subunit ribosomal RNA". Lineage: Bacteria; Pseudomonadati; Pseudomonadota; Gammaproteobacteria; Enterobacterales; Enterobacteriaceae. The record is from RNAcentral.